UGCGCGUGCUUACACUGCAGUCGAACGAGAACGGAACUAGCUUGCUAGUUUGUCAGCUAAGUUGGCGCACGGGUGAGUAAUAUAUAGUUAAUCUGCCCCAAAGAAGAGAAUAAUUGUUGGAAACGACUUGUAAUGCUCUAUAUGCCUUUAUUACAUAAGUAAGCAAGGGAAAUAUUUAUAGCUUUGGGAUGAGACUGUACGGUAUCAGUUAGUUGGUGAGGUAAUGGCUCACCAAGACAAUGACGCCUAACUGGUUUGAGAGGAUGAUCAGUCACACUGGAACUGAGACACGGUCCAGACUCCUACGGGAGGCAGCAGUGGGGAAUAUUGCACAAUGGACGAAAGUCUGAUGCAGCAACGCCGCGUGGAGGAUGACACAUUUCGGUGCGUAAACUCCUUUUAUAUGAGAAGAUAAUGACGGUAUCAUAUGAAUAAGCACCGGCUAACUUCGUGCCAGCAGCCGCGGUAAUACGAGGGGUGCAAGCGUUACUCGGAAUCACUGGGCGUAAAGAGCAUGUAGGCUGGUAGUUAAGUUGGAAGUGA
This 543-nucleotide ribosomal RNA is filed under the name uncultured bacterium. Its description in RNAcentral is "bacterial SSU rRNA". It matches the Rfam family "Bacterial small subunit ribosomal RNA", at positions 38 to 597 of the family's 1533-position model. The record is from RNAcentral.